RNA transcript from Fukomys damarensis (Damara mole-rat), 2593 nucleotides. It is a transcript of the gene named SHH signaling and ciliogenesis regulator SDCCAG8, with no coding region annotated. The record is from RefSeq and is a predicted model, not a curated record. The transcript has 20 exons. Lineage: Eukaryota; Metazoa; Chordata; Mammalia; Rodentia; Bathyergidae.
GAUGGGAAGAAGGCAGGACUCAGCAGGGCCGGGCUAGAGGGAAAGGGCGGAGCUUCCAACACAGUCUCUUGGCAACAGGCUUUGGCCGCCAAACCGCUCAAUCAAAUCCCUUCUGGGAACUGUAGUGUAGCUAGAAGGUCCGAGGCUGCACACCAUGCGAUUUUGAACUACAACUCCCGACCUGCACAGGGAGGGCCACAAGAGCGGGCCAGUAGAAGCAUUCACCAACUAAACUGUGCCUUGGGAGAAGGAGAUGAGACUGUUGGAGAAGAAGCACCGGAUCCUUCUGUUAGUACCAAUGUAGGAAAAGAGGACACUGAGGCAGCCUGGCACGAACUGCACUAUAGCCACGCCGUUAAUCAGCUGAGAGCUUUGUUAUGCCAACAAACAAGUAAGGAAAGUGAGAUAUCUCCAUCAAGAAGACGAAAAAUGUCCCCUUUGAGGUCUUCAGAAUAUGAGGAAAACAACAUGCCUACUGUGCACAACCUUGUUCCUAUCAUGAAUGAUCAAUCUCAAUACAUUCAUCACUUAGAGGCAGAAGUCAAGUUCUACAAGGAGGAACUAUCUGGAAUGAAAAAUAGGGUACAAGUAGUUGUGGUUGAAAAUGAAAGACCCCAGCAAGAGCUGAAAUCUCAGAUACAAGAGGAGACAAUGAGGGAACAAACCAUUCAGGAUGUAUCAGGGAACAUGCAGAAUUCUUGGGUUGCAACAGGUGAAGAUUCUAGGGUGGGUGAAGCUGUAAAGAGACCAUUUUCCCAUGGUGACGGAGAUACUCAAAGAGGUGCUGGUGAGGCUGGAAAAUGGAAGCUAGAGCUGGAGAGGCUAAAACUUACAUAUGAGGCAAAAAGUGAAAUCCUUGAUUCUCAACUGACAUUUUUGAGGAGAGACUUAGCUGAAUAUCAGAAAGACUGUGAACAUCUUAAACAGCAAUUAAAACAUAAAGAGUCUCUUCUUGCUACUAAUGUCUCCAACCGUGUUGGUGGUCUUUGUUUGAAGUGUGCUCAGCAUGAAGCUGUUCUUUCCCAAACCCAUAAUAAUGUGCACAUCCAGACCAUCGAAAGACUGACUAAGGAAAGAGAUGACUUAAUGUCUGCACUCAUUUCUGUAAGGAGCAGCUUGGCAGAUAUGCAGCAGAGAGAAACAAGUGCUUAUGAACAGGUCAAAGAAGCUGUGCAUAUGACCGAGGAAGCCAACUUUGAAAAGACCAAGGCUUUAAUCCAGUGUGAGCAGCUGAGGAAUGAGCUAGAGAGACAGACAGAGCGACUUGAAAAAGAACUUUCAUCUCAGCAAAAGAAAAGGGCCUCUGACAAAGAGAUGAUGAAAAAAGAAAUAGCAAAAGAAAGGGAAGGCAUGGAAUCUAAGAUGUUGCUCCUAUCUCAAAAUAUUGUCCAGCUGGAAUCCCAGGUGGAAAAGGUUACAAGGGAGAAAAUUUCUGCUAUUAAUCAACUAGAGGAAGUUCAAAACCAGCUGGCAUCUCAGGAAAUGGAUGUCACAAAGGUGUGUGGAGAACUGCGCUUCCAGUUGAAUAAAGCUAAAGUGGAGAAGGACGAGACAGAAAAGGAGCACAAAGAGUACAGAGUAAAAACUAAAAGGGAUCUUGAAAUUAAAGAUCAGGAAAUAGAGAAAUUGAGAGCAGAACUGAGUGAAAGCAAGCGGCACGUGGAACAGGAGCAGCAGCAGGCAGCCCGGGCCAGAGAGGAGUGUCUGAGACUAACAGAAUUGCUGGGCAAAUGUGAGCACCAACUGCACCUCACCAGACUGGAAAAAGAUAGCAUUCAGCAGAGCCUUAGCAAUGAAGCAAAGGCCCAAGCCCUUCAGGCCCAGCAAAGAGAGCAGGAGCUGACACAGAAGAUAGAGCAAAUGGAGGCCCAGCAUGACAAAACUGAAAAAGAGCAGUAUUCUCUGAUGACCUCCCAGAAUACAUUUUUGAUAAAGUUAAAGGAAGAGUGCUGUUCAUUAGUCAAGAAACUGGAGCAGAUCUCUCAAAAAAGCAGAUCCGAAAUAGCUCUGCUGAGUCAAGAAAAAAUAUAUACACAUCAUAAACUGGAGAAGUUACAGAGGAGAAAUAAUGAACUGGAGGAACAGUGUGUCCAGCAUGGGAGAGUACAUGAGACAAUGAAGGAGAGGCUCCGGCAGCUGGAUAAGCACAGCCAGGCCACAGCCCAGCAGCUGGCACAGCUGCUCAACAGACAGAGCCAGCUUCUCCUGGAGAGACAGAGCCUGUCAGAAGAGGUGGACCGGCUACGGGCCCAGCUUGAAAGUCAGGAAUUGAGGCCCGGAAGUGGUGCCUGUGCAGAAGGAAGGGGCACCGAGACCUGCGCUGAGCCAGUCCUUGCACAGCCCUGGGUCACACCGGGCAUGCAGCACUGGCCAGAGAGAGGAGGACAGGGAGGACCACAUGGUCAGUUAGGGAAACUGAGGCUCAAACAAGCAUAUGCAGCUAGCAACACUACACACCGGACCGAAGUCUGACGACAGCCCCGGCCUUCCCCGUCCUGGUUAGAUAAUGGGGGAAGAAAGAGUCCAGUUACCCAGCAUGCCACAAUCUGAUUGCUGACCUGGAUGAAACAGAGUGAAAUAAAUGAUUUACAAA